RNAcentral lists this long non-coding RNA (3963 nucleotides) under Betta splendens (Siamese fighting fish). RNAcentral describes it as "lncRNA (ENSBSLG00000002258.1)". The record is from RNAcentral. Lineage: Eukaryota; Metazoa; Chordata; Actinopteri; Anabantiformes; Osphronemidae.
AUGGUUAUUUCCCUGGGAGGAUUUCCUGCUCUCACGCGGUCCUCAGCCUCCAGUUCAGCCGCGCGCUGCUCAGUCUCCAGUUCAGCCGCGCGCUGCUCAGUCUCCAGUUCAGCCGCGCGCUGCUCAGUCUCCAGUUCAGCCGCGCGCUGCUCAGUCUCCAGUUCAGCCGCGCGCUGCUCAGUUUCCAAGUCAGCCGCGCGCUGCUCAGUUUCCAGUUCAGCCGCGCGCUGCUCAGUCUCCAGUUCAGCCGCGCGCUGUUCAAUCUCCAGCUCAAUCGUGCUUUGCCCAGUCUCCAGCUCAAUCGUGUUUUGCCCAGUCUCCUGCUCAAUCGUGUUUUCCCCAGUCUCCAGCCCAAGCUCCAGACGCCGCGGCCCCGUUUCACCGCGCCCAGCGCCUCAAACGACGGACAGUCGCAGCUGCUCCGGACGGCGACGGCGGCGGCGCGGGUCCAGGAUCCCGGGUCCCGCGGUCUCGGUCAUGGGGACCGAGCAGCCUUCUUCCCCGACAGAGGAGCCCCUUAAUUCUCUGACUGACUGUGUCCCUCUGAUAACAGGCAUCCCAGACAGCGUCGCCCGACGGGUCCACCUCCUCUGCUCUCCUCCAGUUGCCUUUCUCUUCGCCCACCUCAUGAACACCGCCAAUUCGGCUACAGACCAGGGCGCGAGAGAACAACUGUUCGAGGAAGCAGCCACUCUCGUCCGGAGGGAGCCUGCCCUGCGUGAGGCCCUGCAACUCCCGGGCCUGCAGCCAGCGGUCGCUUCAUGCCCCACCUCUCAGUCAGGUCAGCCGUGUGUUACUCAUGCCCCGGUGCAGCCCUGUCGUCUCCAGGUCCCAGCCCAGUCGAACCUAGUCCAGACCCCAGAUCAGCCGUGUGUUGCCCAGACCCCAGAUCAGCCGUGUGUUGCCCAGACCCCAGAUCAGCCGUGUGUUGCCCAGACCCCAGAUCAGCCGUGUGUUGCCCAGACCCCAGAUCAGUCGUGUGUUGCCCUGACCCCAGUUCCGUCCUUGUCCCCGUCAGAGGGCGCCGUCCGUCUGACGACUGUUAACCCCACCCAAUCAGGCCCGACGUCUCCCCCGUCGAGCUCGGCAGCUGUAAGCUGUCAUGCCAGCUCCGGAGGGGACGCCGCUCCAGUCCCUGUCGGCCAUGUUGCGGUCGUUCUAGUUCCUGUCGGCUCCUCAGAGGAGGACGCCGUCCCUGUUCCCGUCGGCCAUAUUGAGGCCGUUCUAGUUCCAGUUCCUGUCGGCUCCUCAGAGGAGGACGCCGUUCUAGUUCCUGUCGGCCAAGUAGAGGCCGUUCCAGUCCCUGUCGGCCAUGUUGCGGUCGUUCCAGUUCCUGUCGAUCCGUUAAAGGUCGUUCCUGUCCCUGUCGGCCAUGUUGAGGUCGUUCCAGUUCCAGUCGGCCAUGUUGAGGUCGUUCCAGUUCCAGUCGGCCAUGUUGAGGUCGUUCCAGUUCCUGUCGGCCAUGUUGAGGUCGUUCCAGUUCCUGUCGGCCAUGUUGAGGUCGUUCCAGUUCCUGUCGGCCAUGUUGAGGUCGUUCCAGUUCCUGUCGGCCAUGUCGAGGUCGUUCCAGUUCCUGUCGGCCAUGUCGAGGUCGUUCCAGUUCCUGUCGGCCAUGUCGAGGUCGUUCCAGUUCCUGUCGGCCAUGUCGAGGUCGUUCCAGUUCCUGUCCCUGUCGGCCAUGUUGAGGUCGUUCCAGUUCCUGUCCCUGCCGACCAAGUUGAGGUCGUUCCAGUCCCUGUCCCUGCCGACCAAAUUGAGGUCGUUCCAGUCCCUGUCCCUGCCGACCAAAUUGAGGUCGUUCCCGUAGGCCGAGUAGAGGGCGUUCCCGUAGGCCGAGUAGAGGGCGUUCCCGUAGGCCGAGUAGAGGGCGUUCCCGUAGGCCAAGUAGAGGGCGUUCCCGUAGGCCAAGUAGAGGGCGUUCCCGUAGGCCAAGUAGAGGGCGUUCCCGUAGGCCAAGUAGAGGUCACCCCUGUCUCUGACCCCGUUCCUGUCGACCCUGUAGCGGUCGUUCCAGUCCCCGUUCCUGUCGACCCUGUAGCGGUCGUUCCAGUCCCCGUUCCUGUCGACCCUGUAGUGGUCGUUCCAGUCCCCGUUCCUGUCGGCCCUGUAGCGGUCGUUCCAGUCCCCGUUCCUGUCGGCCCUGUAGCGGUCGUUCCAGUCCCCGUUCCUGUCGACCCUGUAGCGGUCGUUCCAGUCCCCGUUCCUGUCGGCCCUGUAGCGGUCGUUCCAGUCCCCGUUCCUGUCGACCCUGUAGCGGUCGUUCCAGUCCCCGUUCCUGUCGGCCCUGUAGCGGUCGUUCCAGUCCCCGUCACCCGUGGAGCCGCAGCGCCCGCCGGUCCCCAGGAGGAGGUCGCGCUAGCCGUAGUUCCUGCGCACCUCCAGGAGGAGGUCGCGCCAGUCGCAGUUCCUGCGCACCUCCAGGAGGAGGUCGCGCUAGUCGCAGUUCCUGCGCACCUCCAGGAGGAGGUCGCGCUAGCCGCAGUUCCUGCGCACCUCCAGGAGGAGGUCGCGCCAGUCGCAGUUCCUGCGCACCUCCAGGAGGAGGUUGCGCCAGUCGCAGUUCCUGCGCACCUCCAGGAGGAGGUUGCGCCAGUCGCAGUUCCUGCGCACCUCCAGGAGGAGGUUGCGCCAGUCGCAGUUCCUGCGCACCUCCAGGAGGAGGUUGCGCCAGCCGCAGUUCCUGCGCACCUCCAGGAGGAGGUUGCGCCAGCCGCAGUUCCUGCGCACCUCCAGGAGGAGGUUGCGCCAGCCGCAGUUCCUGCGCACCUCCAGGAGGAGGUUGCGCCAGCCGCAGUUCCUGCGCACCUCCAGGAGGAGGUUGCGCCAGCCGCAGUUCCUGCGCACCUCCAGGAGGAGGUUGCGCCAGCCGCAGUUCCUGCGCACCUCCAGGAGGAGGUUGCGCCAGCCGCAGUUCCGGCGCACCUCCAGGAGGAGGUCGCGCCAGCCGCAGUCCCGGCGCACCUCCAGGAGGAGGUCGCGCCAGCCGCAGUCCCGGCGCACCUCCAGGAGGAGGUCGCGCCAGCCGCAGUCCCGGCGCACCUCCAGGAGGAGGUCGCGCCAGCCGCAGUCCCGGCGCACCUCCAGGAGGAGGUCGCGCCAGCCGCAGUCCCGGCGGACCUCCAGGAGGGGGUCGCGCCCGCCGCAGUCCCGGCGGACCCCCAGGAGGGGGUCGCGCCCGCCGCAGUCCCGGCAGACCCCCAGAAGGGGGUCGCGCCCGUCGUAGUUCUUGCCGACCUCCAGGAGGGGGUCGCUCCCAUCGUAGUUCCUGCCGACCUCCAGGAGGGGGUCGCUCCCGCCGUAGUUCCUGCCGACCUCCAGGAGGGGGUCGCUCCCGUCGUAGUUCCUGCCGACCUCCAGGAGGGGGUCGCUCCCGUCGUAGUUCCUGCCGACCUCCAGGAGGGGGUCGCUCCCGUCGUAGUUCCUGCCGACCUCCAGGAGGGGGUCGCUCCCGUCGUAGCUCCUGCCGACCUCCAGGAGGGGGUCGCUCCCGCCGUAGCUCCUGCCGACCUCCAGGAGGGGGUCGCUCCCGUCCCGGCUCCGGCCGCAUCUGCAUCGGUUCCUGGCGGUCCGGCUCCGGUCGCAUCUGCAUCGGUCCCUGGCGGUCCGGCUCCGGCCGCAUCUGCUUCGGUUCCUGCCUCUCGUCGCGGUGGUCCAAGGAGGACGCCGCUGGUUCACGUCUCUCGUCGCGGUGGUCCAAGGAGGACGCCGCUGGUUCCUGCCUCGUCUCUGCCUUUGCUGCCGGACUGGUGGCCUCGCCCUCGGCGCAUCCUGCUGCUGGGAUGGCGCUGCCUCCUGCGGCGCCGUCCGCCUCGACUCCUCAACCGCCGGGAUCAGCGUCCGCCUGGUGGACGCUGCCAUGCGGGGUGGUCCCCGGGGACAUCGUCCCAGCUCAAGGGCACUAAGAGUGCCAUCCUGGCUCAGCGGCUGCUGAGCAGGAUCUCGCCACGCCGUCACCCUCCGUGA